GUGCCAGCCGCCGCGGUAAGACGAGCCUUGCUAACGUUAUUCGGAAUUACUGGGCUUAAAGGGUGCGUAGGCUGUGCAGAAAGUUGGGUGUGAAAUCCCCCGGCUCAACCGGGGAAUUGCGCUCAAAACUACUGUGCUAGAGGAAGACAGAGGUCGGCGGAACUUCGGGUGGAGCGGUGAAAUGCGUUGAUAUCCGAAGGAACACCGGUGGCGAAAGCGGCCGACUGGGUCUUAUCUGACGCUGAUGCACGAAAGCUAGGGUAGCGAACGGGAUUAGAAACCCCCGUAGUCC
This 292-nucleotide ribosomal RNA is filed under the name uncultured bacterium. RNAcentral's name for it is "partial 16S ribosomal RNA". It matches the Rfam family "Bacterial small subunit ribosomal RNA", at positions 505 to 796 of the family's 1533-position model. The record is from RNAcentral.